This is a non-coding RNA of Rattus norvegicus (Norway rat), 6747 nucleotides long. The record is from RefSeq and is a predicted model, not a curated record. NCBI's taxonomy places the organism in Eukaryota, Metazoa, Chordata, Mammalia, Rodentia, Muridae.
GCUCAUUCUCUGAAACACAAGUCAUGAAGGAGGGGCUUGGGAGCGGGGGAGGGGGGAGUCACAGACCUUCAGCGUAGGUGGGGUCAGGGAGCAUCUAAUGCUAAAGAUCAGAAAGUGUCAAGCCAAAUCAUUAAAUAAGAUGUUAAUGAUUUUUCAACAUGAGGUCCAGGGGACACAAACCCAUGUUUUGUAAUCUUUCAUGUCCAGUCAGCAGAGACAUUCCAUGCUAUAAGAUCAUUAAGAGUAUUAUGGACAGCAAGGCUGGUAAGUUAAUUUCCUUCAAACUUAGAGCCUAUCUGGAAAGAAAUACAAACUUCAGUCAUAACUGAAAAGAAAAUUAUACGAAUUCUAGGUUUAAAAAUAUAAAAAUUAAAAGAAUAAACCCCAAAAGGCCACAGACCCAGGGCUAAGCCCUGCAGCCAAGACUAACAGGCCAUAAAGAUAAAGGAGCACAGGAAACACUGUUCAGGCAGGACUGACAAGCCAUAAAGAAAAGGAAUGCAAGAACCAGCCUGAGUUAAUGGGACUGAUUCAUGGGACGUCUGGCAGGAAGACAUCUCCCCCCAGCUCACUGAGGGCCAUCCUCCGGCCCCUGAUAAGCCCCUGACUUCUAGCACGUACUCUUUCUGCUUUGUUCUCACUGCUAUGUUUGAAUGAGCCAAUUGUAUGUAACCACGCCAAAACCCCCUAGCCUUCUCUAUAUAACCCUCUGACUUUUGAGUUUCGGGGCCGACACCUCUGUCUCCUGCGCGGGAUAUGUGUCGGCCCGGAGAUCUCUGUAAUAGGUCUCCGUAAUAAACCUCGCCUUUGCUUAUUACAUCCAAAAUGGUCUCUCUGUGUCUGGGGUCCGCAAUUUCCCAAGACUUGAGUAAGGGUCUCUCUGCGUGGGAUCUUUCAUAUUUAUGGGGGCUCGUCCGGGAUCUGCGCGACUACCCCAGACUCCGAAGACCCCUUGGAGGUGAGUUGGAUGUUUGUCUGAGUGUUUCUGUGUGAGCGGCGCCGCAAUUGUCAGUCUGUGUCUGUCUCUGUUUUGGUUCCGCCGUGUGUGUAUAUAUGUGUGUCUUAGUACUGGUCUGUGGUAAGAGGGCAGAUGGGUAUUCCUGCCCUGUGUUAAGAGGGCAGAUGGGUAUUCCUGCCCUGUGGUAAGAGGGCAGAUGUGUGUUCCUGCCUUGUGCUGAGAGGGUGGAUGUGUAUUCCUGCCCUGUGCUAGGAGGGUGGAUGUGUGUUCCUGCCCUGUAGGAGAGUGGAUGUGUAUCCCCACUCAGUGCAGCUGCCUUUGUGGUCCGUGAGGACCCCCUGGCUGCGGAAGGGGGGACGCCCCGGGCCCGCAAGGCUGCAGCCCCUGGAAGACGUUCCACGGGCGGAGAACAGUCGGGAGAGCCCGGCUAUAGACAGUCAGGAGGACCUGACUUUGGUUUUCUGGAACAAAGGAGAUGGAAUGCUCCUUUUACCUAGGCGGGAGUGGACGAGGAAUCCCACUCCGUCAGAGGUCGAGUUCGGCUGCCUAUUUAAAUAUAGGCACGGACAAGUGUGCUUGGUCGUUAAGACAAGAGGACACUCUGGAAUCCUGUUGGGAGGUGGAAUCAGAUGGUCCAUCUCAUCCCAAAAGCAGCUAAGGUUAAGCUGCAGUUUGGGCCACGUACUGAAGGUACCAGACAUCUGUGAAAGUUGGUUAUAAGAUGCUUUGUCUUGGUCUUGUUUGUCUGGCUUGUUUUCUGUGGUAUUGUCGAGUGUCUUUUUGGCUUUUGUUUCGUUUUUGAAUUUUGGACUGACGACUGUGUUCGAAUUUGGACUGACGACUGUGUUUAAAAUCUUGGACUGAUGACUGUGUUUGAAAUCAUGAAACUGUUUGCUUUGUUCGUCAAAGAGUUUUACUUGGUCCUCUUGGUGCUUAAGUUAAGAGUUAAAAAUAAUUUGCUUGAGAGAAAUUGUUUUCUGCCAGGGAGUUUUGUCUUUCUCUCUUGAGCCUCCUCCCCAAGGAGAGAGACCCCUCCCUUUACUCCCCUUGAUCAGCCUAGCUGCUGUUAACAGUUGUGUAAACAGACAUUAACAAAAACCUUGAGGACAAAACUGCUCGUAAAUAAAAAAGUUCCCCAGAUUAGGCCUCCGGUAUGAAACAAGUAUAGUGAGUAAGAAACUUAAUUUUAUGGACCCCGCUCUAGUGUCGGUGUUUUGGUUGAUAGCCAACGUUAAUUUUUUAAAACAUAGUGUUUUAUCUGUGCUUGUGCUUGAAACACACAGUAGGGGGGAGCGAAAUUAGCUGCGGAGCUGCUGCAGCGAGCAUGGGGACUUCUCAAGUCUCUCCCAAUUUUUCUGGCUCUUCAGGAGCUGUUUAAAAGAAAAAGGCUUAAGGUAAAAAGAAACACUAUAAAAAGAUUUCUUAGUGAAUUACUACACCUUGGUUUGCGAUCUCUGGGAAUCUCAUGGUGGACAGCUGAGAUAAGCUGGAAAAGGAUUUAAAUUUUGCUUAGAAACAAAGAAUCUUAAAGGUGGAGUUUCAGCCGGUAUGACACUUAGUGCAUAGCUGCCUAAAAGAUCAGAAAUGCUGUCAACAGGCUAUAAAAAAGGGACAGGCUGUGUUAAAAAUGCUACAUAAAGAAUAAUCUAAAAAGGCUGAGAGUGAGGUGGGAGAGGACUCUAAGAAAAACAAGAACAAGAAAGGAAUUUCUGCUUUUAGUGACCAGACCUUCAACUCUUGCUCACAGAAAGAGGGUGCUCAUUAAGAGAAGUUCUUUAAGGAGCCUGCCUUAUCUGCUGGCCCUAUUCCAAGAGAGGAGCCAGUCUCCAGCAUUAAAUUACUUUUCUCACUGGUCAUCAUUAGCAUGGAGAAUGCCUUUGAUCCUAUCCCCACAGCAGCCAGUUCCUGCCCCUGUGGUAGAAAUGUCCCAGGUUGGGGGGCAGAGAAGCCCCUAAAAUAGUUUCAAAGAAUCUACAACAAACUGUAAAGAACUUUGUUUUGUUUUGCCAGUUUAAAUUUAGAAUUCAGGCUUUGGCUGUGGCCGAGGUCAGGAUUAAUGUUUUCGUUUCCAUGGGCCCUUAGCCCACUGAGACAGUUUGGUAAAGGACUACUACUACAGUCCUGAUAUUCAGAGACAUGGAGAGAGCUAUAGUUUUUUUUAUUAAAGGUUGGUACUAUAGUAUUAACAAUCUCUUUAUUAGAUAUAAGAGACAAGAAGCCCCAGGUGAACUGGUUACAAUUCUUUUGUCAGCUGCUUAGUAUCUAACACUCAGGUUCUAUCGUCUCUCCAUCCUUUUAUUAUUAGUUGUUACUGAAAGCCUAGUGCCAUUUAGAGGAUGGGUCUCUUGAGUGAUAAAGCCACUGAGCUGGCACUAAAGGAAGGUACUCCUUAAGGGAAAAUCUAAGUCCAGAGAGACAGCCGGUAACAGAUAGGCUGCCCCUCUGCUCACUUUUCUGUUUCACAGACACAAGGUCUUUUUGUCCCAAGAAAGCCUCUUGGCUUAGCUGUGUGACUAAAUGCUAUUUGCCCUCUUCAGUGGACCUCUAUUCUCAAGAUUCUCUUGUUUUCUCACCAUCCCAUUUGAGAUGCUUGUUAGUAACUGUUACAGGUCUUCUUUACCACCGAGGAAAGACGGAAUCCUACUAGAGGCCAGAAAAAGUGUUCCAGAGAUGGAUAGAAGGCCCUCACUUCUGCCUGCUCUCUUCAGACGCCUAAAGGACUUAAACUGUGAUAGAGUGGCUGAUAGAGUGUCCAAAGAUGGGACCACUGGUCAGCAGCCAUGGACUAGAUUCUCCACCGGUUGGGGACAAUCUGGUCACCUUGCUGCCCAAUCCGGACCUGGAGCCACCACAGCACGAGUGUCAAACACUGACAGAAGCACAUGGGUGGAGGAAAGACCUGUGCGACUGGCUGAUUGACCCCUGCUGAAAGCCGAGGACCUUGUCCACAGACGGGAACAGUUCUCUUCAUGAAUAAAGGUCAGAGAUAAGUGGGUGCUGCCAUGGUGGACAACACAAUGUCAUCUAGAAUGGCUGAACCUCUACCCCCCCAGCACAUCAGCGCCACAGAUGCCUUUGCCAUCUCUUGGAUGCCCGGAUGAAGCCAACAACUGUGAGUACUAUUCAUUGCCCAGGAAAACAGGAGGGAAGAGAUUCAGUGACAUGGGGCAGUGACAAAACAGAUAAAGUGGCUCGGGAAAUGGCUAUACAGGAGCCUAUCCUGGUUACAGGCCUGCAAGAGACAGCCACUGAGAACUAGGAUUAGACUAAGGGAUGGCCUCACUUAGAAAAGGCCCAAAUUGCUUAAAAGAUAAAGGACAAUGGCACACUUGAGGGGAAGCUAUACUCCCCAGAGAACAAAGAAAAGACUCACUUUGCCAAAUAAAAAAAUAGACUUGGGCUGGGGAUUUAGCUCAGUGGUAGAGCGCUUACCUAGGAAGCGCAAGGCCCUGGGUUCGGUCCCCAGCUCCGAAAAAAAGAACCAAAAAAAAAAAAAAAAAAUAGACUCAUUUAAGAGAUAAGAAGUUUGUCCAAAUAGUUAAAAUAUAUAUAAUAGACUUUAAGAUUUUAGCCAAGAGAGACAAUAAAAAAGUAUAAAAUACGUCAAUAAAUAAAUGCUUAACAAACAAACAGGACAAAGAGACCUAGAGAGUUUAACGAAAAGUCGAAAUGAACUUCACUGAGAUAAAACCAGAAAAAUAUAAUCUCCUAGUGCUUGUAGAUACUUUUUCAGAAAUAGACAGAAGCUUUCCUCACCAAACGAGAGACGGCCUCUACAAUCAUCAAGAAGAUACUGAAAGAAAUCUUCCCCAGGUCUGGAAUGCCCAAGGUAAUCUGGUCAGACAACGGUCCUACUUUCGUUGCCAAGGUAAGCCAGGGUGUGGCCAAAUAUUUAGAGGUCGAUUGGAAAUUACAUUAUAUUUACAGACCUCAAAGUUCAAGACAGGUAGAGUAAAUAAACAGAACUCUAAAAGAGACCCUAAACAAAUUGACCAUGGAGACUGGCACAGACUGGGUGACACUCCUUCCCUCUUGCUCUCUUCAGAGCAAGAAAUACCCCUUCCAGACUCAGCUUUACCCCCUUUGAGAUCUUAUAUGGGGCCUAAGCUCCCCUGACUGUAUUAGAUGAUGUUACUGAACCAACAUGUCAUAGUGCCAUAGUAAUAAUGAUUUGUGUGCCAGGCUAAAAGACCUACAGGUGAUACAGAAAGAAAUCUGCUCACAGCUGACAGCAGCCUAUGCCCCGGAGACCCCUGAGACAUCCCAUCAGUUCCAGGUCGGAAGCAGCUACACUGAGCCCAGACACUCGAGCCUCGCUGGAAAGGACCGUGCCUGGUGCUGCUGACCACCCUGACAGCCGUCAAUUCUCAGCCCUCACCAGCCGUGUACUAGCUGUUAGGGCUGAGAGCUGGGACCUAGAGGGAAAUUCAGUCAUGUUUGUCCUGGGUUCUAUCAAGAUAGGUGUGGGAUAGGCUUGAUUUCUAUUACAAAUGAUGUAACAUUACAUAUGUUAGUACUCCUAACACUUCUUGGGACUGUGCCUCAGGGAUCACAACCUAUAUAAGUUUAGAAGUUCUGAAAGACAGUCAUGACCUUGGUGUAUAGGUUCAGAUAGUGUCCAGAUUGGAAUCCUGAUGCUAAAGACUUAGUAAGAGACAAAAAAAAGGAGUUGAGAAUUACUUAGGGCUAGGGCUAUCUAGGUGCUACAAGGGCAGCACAAGGACAUCUGCUGUUGCCCUACAAUACAAGGCUUAUAGAGAAUUCAGAACUGCCAUUGACUCAGAUAUAAAAAGAGUAAAAGACUUUUUAGCUGACCUCCAAGAAUACCUAACCUCCCUCUCAGAGGUAGUCCUUCAAAAUAAAAAAAAGAUUAGACCUGAUAUUCCUUAAAAAAGGAGUCUGUGUGCUAUACUGAAAAAAAAAUGUUGCUUCUAUACAGACCAUUCAAGAAUAAUUAAAGACUCCAUAAAUAAACUUAAAAAAAGGUUAGACAAAAGACAGACAGAAAAACACAUCAGAGAUGGUUCGAGAGCUAGUUUAGUAGAUCUCCCUGGAUGACUACCCUACACUCUGCUACAGCUGGGCCAUUAUUAAUAAUUUUCUUGGUUUUAGUUUUUGGCUCCUGCGUGACAAACAGGUUAAUUGCUUUUGUUAAAAAUUGAGUGGGUGCUGUGCGGUUGAUGGUUGUGAGACAACAGUACCAGUCAGUUAGGACAACUGGUGAGACCAAAUACGAGACUUGAUAUCAAAAUUCUAAGAUUAGAAUUAUUUAGUAGGAGAAGACGGGAAUGAAAAGAAAAUUAUACGAAUUCUAGGUUUAAAAAUAUAAAAAUUAAAAGAAUAAACCCCAAAAGGCCACAGACCCAGGGCUAAGCCCUGCAGCCAAGACUAACAGGCCAUAAAGAUAAAGGAGCACAGGAAACACUGUUCAGGCAGGACUGACAAGCCAUAAAGAAAAGGAAUGCAAGAACCAGCCUGAGUUAAUGGGACUGAUUCAUGGGACGUCUGGCAGGAAGACAUCUCCCCCCAGCUCACUGAGGGCCAUCCUCCGGCCCCUGAUAAGCCCCUGACUUCUAGCACGUACUCUUUCUGCUUUGUUCUCACUGCUAUGUUUGAAUGAGCCAAUUGUAUGUAACCACGCCAAAACCCCCUAGCCUUCUCUAUAUAACCCUCUGACUUUUGAGUUUCGGGGCCGACACCUCUGUCUCCUGCGCGGGAUAUGUGUCGGCCCGGAGAUCUCUGUAAUAGGUCUCCGUAAUAAACCUCGCCUUUGCUUAUUACAUCCAAAA